Molecule: ribosomal RNA, 958 nt
Filed under: Mycobacterium hackensackense
Lineage: Bacteria; Bacillati; Actinomycetota; Actinomycetes; Mycobacteriales; Mycobacteriaceae
Description: bacterial SSU rRNA
Rfam family: Bacterial small subunit ribosomal RNA
Source: RNAcentral
GCGGCGUGCUUAACACAUGCAAGUCGAACGGAAAGGCCCUUCGGGGUGCUCGAGUGGCGAACGGGUGAGUAACACGUGGGUGAUCUGCCCUGCACUUUGGGAUAAGCCUGGGAAACUGGGUCUAAUACCGAAUAUGACCGCAUUCUUCAUGGGGUGUGGUGGAAAGCUUUUGCGGUGUGGGAUGGGCCCGCGGCCUAUCAGCUUGUUGGUGGGGUAAUGGCCUACCAAGGCGACGACGGGUAGCCGGCCUGAGAGGGUGACCGGCCACACUGGGACUGAGAUACGGCCCAGACUCCUACGGGAGGCAGCAGUGGGGAAUAUUGCACAAUGGGCGCAAGCCUGAUGCAGCGACGCCGCGUGAGGGAUGACGGCCUUCGGGUUGUAAACCUCUUUCAGCACAGACGAAGCGCAAGUGACGGUAUGUGCAGAAGAAGGACCGGCCAACUACGUGCCAGCAGCCGCGGUAAUACGUAGGGUCCGAGCGUUGUCCGGAAUUACUGGGCGUAAAGAGCUCGUAGGUGGUUUGUCGCGUUGUUCGUGAAAACUCACAGCUUAACUGUGGGCGUGCGGGCGAUACGGGCAGACUUGAGUACUGCAGGGGAGACUGGAAUUCCUGGUGUAGCGGUGGAAUGCGCAGAUAUCAGGAGGAACACCGGUGGCGAAGGCGGGUCUCUGGGCAGUAACUGACGCUGAGGAGCGAAAGCGUGGGGAGCGAACAGGAUUAGAUACCCUGGUAGUCCACGCCGUAAACGGUGGGUACUAGGUGUGGGUUUCCUUCCUUGGGAUCCGUGCCGUAGCUAACGCAUUAAGUACCCCGCCUGGGGAGUACGGCCGCAAGGCUAAAACUCAAAGAAAUUGACGGGGGCCCGCACAAGCGGCGGAGCAUGUGGAUUAAUUCGAUGCAACGCGAAGAACCUUACCUGGGUUUGACAUGCACAGGACGCCAGUAGAGAUAUUG